UUGCCUUGCCUGCCUUGCCUUUUAGGCAGUUCCCCCCAAAAAAUAGGUACAACUCCAUGGCUUCAAACUUCAUUUUUCAGCUACGACCAUGCUGCUCUCACAAACUCUCCAUGGUGACAACCAAUAGAGCAUGCAAAAUCCUUGUUUAAAGAUGGCGCACCGCACCACUUUUGCACCUGUUAUCAACUGCACACGCAAUGAUAGUAGAUCACCCGCAACACGCCCACUAAUAACACGUGCAAUUUUUUAGUUUGCACACGCAGUUAAGCGCCCUUUAUUUGGGAUCUUCCUAGAUCAAGCCCAACGGCUAAAACCCACAGGAUCCGGAACGGCAGGCGGAUCAAAUACGCAAGCAUUACAAUCAAAGGGGCAUCAGUGGCUUGAGUGAAUACACCUUGAAGUACAACACUGCAUUGCGUGGCAGGCAGAUGCAUCAAAAUAUCUCUAUAGUUUUCCUACCCUAGAUUUAUUUCUUCCUGUCAGACUUAAAAAACAGAGUUCACUGUCAUUUGUCCUCUGAGGCCAGCUUUACGAGAGUGUUAGCAGUCACGUUACAUCUGUACAAGAAUAAUACUUUUCAGCUGUUUUGUCUGAAGUCUCAAGACCAAAAAGAAAAGAACCAGAACAUCUCUACUUGAUGUAUUACUCCAAACUGCUCACCUCUACUACAAACUUGAAAUGGAGGAUGGGUAAACAUUUUGCCAGAAGUUUGUUUGCACUUUGUAAGUUCUUCAGUUCUUCACUCAGCAGAGAAAAUUACAGUUUUCUGAGUGUCUGACUGAAAGGACAUGAAUGCGGCGUAAUGGGUUAUAAGUAAAAAGAAAGAAAGAAAAAACACCAACCGAGUGAAAAAUAAUAAUCAAGGCAGCAUUAGGAGAUUGUGUUAUGACGGAAAGGACAGAGAAGAGGAAAGUAGGAUGGAAAAGGUGAAGCAUAAUGGCUCUGACGAAGCGGUGAUUAAGAAAAAGGUCAGAGGAAGAGGAGGAGUGGGGAAACAAGGAGGCGGAGAAACGAGCGUAUUAAAAGAAGAUGAGAGUGAAAAAAGAGAGAGAGGGUGUGAGGAAGUUUGAAGAAAGUCAACACUUUGGCAGAACACAGAGGCACCUUGACAGGUUUUUGAAGGGGCAACAAGACAUUUUCUGGUCCGCAGCCAUUUGCAGCGGCAGUGAGGAGAAAAUGGAAAAUAGGUGUAAAGGAGCAGGAAAGAGGAACUCGUGAAUUAGGAUGCCACUGAGUUAGUGAGGGAGGGAGUGGGGGUGGAGAGAGUAAACAGAUUGGGAGGAGGUGGUGAUGAUAAUGAUGAAAGCUGUGUGAGCGUUAGGGCUGGUGGGAGGGAGGGAUGGAGGGAGGGAGAGAGGCACUGGAAAGAGUGAAGGGAUGCAGAGGAGUAGAAGGGUGGAGGGGGGGGAGUAAUGAUGAUGGUAAGGGAUGAUGAGAUGUGGUUAAAUGAGAGAUGAUUUGCAAGACAAGGAGAGAAGGAGAGGGAACAAUGAGCGCCCUCCACCAGGAUAGCUUUAAGCCUGAAGGAGGAGAGUAGUGAAGGUGCUCGACACAAGAGGACACUGGAAGGAUUGGAGGGAAGGAGCUGAUGGAGGAGAAGCAAGCAGGAGGAGGAGAUGGUAGAUGAGGUGUAUGAGUGCACACAACGUGCUAUUGACUGAAGGCUUACCUCGUUAAUUGCAUAUUCCCUAUGAUUGCACUAUGAACCGCUGAGCUGCAUGAAAAUUACUUUCUCUCACUUUACUUUCAGACAAAGACAGAGAGAGAGAGAGAGAGAGAGAGACAAAGAGAGCGAGAAAGAGAGAAAAUGGGUCUAAGUGACUUAACAGGAAACAGACAAGACAGCUUGUGUAGAAACAGACAGGAGCACAGUUUGAUCUUCUUCCUGUUUUAGUAGAAAUGAUGAGCGUUGAAUUGUGUAAAGAAUAAAAAGAGGAGGGGGAAAAAAGAAAGAAAGAAGUAGUGCACAUACCUGUCACAUUUUUUUCACAGUGAACAUAUAACUCAAAGAUAUUUUCAGCUUAUUCGAUGUAACUUAGUCCAGCCAACAUUGUUGUAAAACUCACACAAUAACUCAAGAUCCAGCUCACGAUGGUGUAAAAGCUUGGUUUAGUAUUCAGUCAAAAAAGUAAACUACAAAUCCAUUUAGUGCUGUAUUAUAGAAAACUUGAAAUCUUAAAAGUGGUGUUUAACAGCUUGACUGAAAUGCUCCAUCACAGAGAAGCAAUGACAUGAACAAUAGAACUAACAGCAGCCACAUCAUGUUUUAAAUCACUAUGUUGUCAUGAACUUUGCUGUACAGCACCAGUAAAGCAGUGUCUGAGAUGUACCGCUGAGACUGUCAGGCAUCCUGUAAAUCCAAAACUCUUAAAGGCUUUUAAAAUUCCCCAAAUUCUCUGCCAUGGAGAUGGCUUGUUAUCCAAAGCGAUGGUUCAACCAUCCUCUCUGUAAUCUACUGGUCUUUUCACACACUUGAAGAUCGCUAUCCUGGCUUGUUAAUGCAUAGUUUGUGGCUUCAAUGCAGCAGCUAUUUCCUCUGCAGCUGUAGUGAAUGUUGAAUGUGUUCAGAAUGUGUUCGGCUAUUAUUUCGAUGUUGAACCAAACACAGCUUCACUGCUACCACCUCGCCAUACAAUCAUAUUGCAUUUACAGGAAGUUGCUGCUGAAUGUUUUCACUCUCUAGUUUAAAGGAACUCUGUUACACUUAUUCUCACCUUUCAUCCUGUCAGUCUGGGAUGCUAAGUGAGCAGCUUUGCCUAAUUUAGGCUUCUGUGGUAACCUUCAUUUCAGCACUAUAAGGCCUUCACUGAAGGCCGCUUUUCCACUUACAUUCACUAAGUGAAACCUUGUGGGUGUUACUUCUUACAGAGCUAAGUUCUCAUGAAAUGACUGAAAAGUUUUGCCUUUACAGAAAAUAUCUGAGCUCCCCAACUUGCCAUUAGUUAUGGUUACAGUUAGGUUGUUGUCCUGAAAAUGUGAAACUAGGGUUACCAUACGUUAGGACUGGGGGAUUAUAUGAUCCUGAUUAAUGAUCGUGAUAAAUUUCAGUUCGAUCACUGUGAUCAGCUGUGAGCAUAUUUACUCGGAGCCAACGGCCAAUCAGAGUUAUGCUUUUCCUGCUCACUUCUGUAAGUUGCCGGAGAGGAAAACAAGGUAAGUAAACAGAAUGACCAAAUGUGGAGCUAAACGCAGAGCUGAGGGCAGCAAAGUAGAUGGCAGCCAUGACUUUUAUGCCAUUGUUGAGCAGAAAAGUUAUUCAACGUUGGUUUUGUGGCGGUGGUUCCGGUAUCUCCAAAGUGACGUCGAGCUAUUAACACGGUGUGCAAGGUAUGUCGGCGGUUGGCGCCCUCACAAACUGGCAACACAACAAAUCUGAAGAAGUACGUCCUGAGUGAUUAUGUGGGAAGCAUGAAAAUGCGAGCGCAAUCUGCUCAGCCUGCCACUGCUGAUGGCACUCAUAGCAUUAGCAGUUUAACCACAACUAGCAGUGCUGCCACCAGACCAAAGCAGUAAUCAAUAGUAUCAUCUACAUUAACACCAUCGUAUGUUUACAGUUUAAGGCAUCUUCAUUUUUGAUUUAUUUAUUUGGGUCUGGCAUACCUGCAAAAACACCCAGGACUGUAAACUAGUUCACUGUAUUAUUAAGUAUUCAUCCACAUUUGUUGUAUUGUUGAGUUAAAAUGUUUUUUUAUAUUUUUCUAAGUUUAUCUUAUUCAAUUUGCUUCAUUUACUUUGUAUGUGAAUAAAAUGUUGGACUAAUCUCUAGUUUCUUUAGCUUUUAAUACAGAUGCUUUAAAACUGGCAGUUUAAAAAAAAUAAAUAAAUAAUAAUAAUAAUCGAGAUCCGACAAUAUGACAAAACAAAAGAUAUUGGGAUCAUUGUUUUUUGCCAAAUUGUCCAGUCCUACUGUAUGUUCUCUUUUACCCAGACAUGACCUCUUUUGGCAGCCUGUCUGGGGGGAGUUUAUAAAAUCCUUCAAAUGUCCAGGGUUUUUUUUAUGUAUCUACAUGAGGCCUGUCUUUUGGAGAAUUCAGAAUAUGUGUUUAACUGAGUUAGACUGACCUGAAAAACCCUGAAAUUUUGCGCGUACAACUCCGCCCUGCAUAGGAGUUUCCUCUUGUUGGGGCUUCAGAAUAUGGUCACCCUAAUAAAACCUACCCUCUGUUUUCUGGUGUCCUCCUCUUUGGGAAGAGAAAAUGGCUGUGACUUUCCCUCACAACCAAAACAACACUUACAGGCAAUUUCCACAGACAUACCGGAUCAACAAAGUGCAGAGCAGAGAAAAUAACUGAGCAGUGACAAAGACUCUUCAGCUUCCGGAUGGGCGUCUCUCUUUGACAGAGUUUCCAGGUGGGCUCAUUCUCAAAACAGGCUAUUCAGAGUACCCAGACAUCACAUCAAGGGAUUACAGCACCAUCUGUGUAUCUCAUGGAGAACUUUGCCAUGGUUUUGUAUAGUUAUUCAACAUAUAACAAAACAUUUCUACUCUGCUUACAUUUCACAUUUUAGCCACUGGCUGCUAACGCUGACUUACUCACAUGUUUGCUUCAGUUAGGAUCAGGACAUAUAAGGUUGUCAAGUGCACCAAGUGGUGGUCUGCUUUUUGAUUAUGCAUGUUUAAAACAAUCUUUUUUUUUCAUGCAGCAGUGACAGUUUCUCCAAGGUUAAAGGUACUGCAUGUAUUUAGCUUCCUCUUCACCCUCUUUGCUUUACUUGAGACUUUUAUACAUGUGUAGCCUUUUUCACAAGCAAAGAUCAUAUUGGUGUCUUUAAACACUUGUCAUGUUGCAACUCAACUGUACUAAAGAACUUUUAUCGAUGUAUUCUUGUGAAUUAAUGAUUUGAUAUGAUGGCGCGACUCAAUCUGAGAUCUAAUGUCGCAUUGCAGGGCCCACAAGACUUGCUAGCACAAUCAGUCAGCUUAAGUGUUAUUGAUUUUUGGGGUUUGAACAAUACAGAGCUACCGUAGUUUCUCAGUUGAGGGGCGGUUUCACUCCUCAUCUUUACAUUCACACCCAAUAACAGAAAAGGCAAAAGAAAAUUAGAGUAAGGAAAUAGAGUAGGGAACCAGGUGAGAAGUGGGGAAUGAGAGGGUUGGGAUGAAACCACAGCUGUCUGCUUCCAGGGCUGUAACCUCUGAACAUGAGGGGAACAAUUUAACCACUUCAUUCCUUCAGUGACAGAGUUCAUUUAAAGUCAUGGAGCAGACAAGUUGGGCAGAUUAAACUAAUUACCAAAUUGCAGAACAUCUACAUUUUCUGUGCAAUGAAAAAAAAUAUAUAACAUGCUGUCAUAUACACUGAAUCCUGGUGAACACUGCAUGUAAUCUGCACUGCACUGCAUGUUGUCCCUGGGGAAAUUACAGCAGACAGGUCAUCAGUAGUAGAGCCAUAAUAAGUGGAGAUGAACAUCCAUCUUUUUAUGCAUGUCAUUUAGAUCAAAUGCUAGGUUAUCGUACUGGUGAUCAUAUAUUGACAAACUGUGUAGGUAAAGUCCACUUCUGCUUUAUCUGCAAGCUUAACAGUAAGGGCAGGGUUAUUUUUCAUUAUGUGGACGUCUGUAUCCAGGUGUUUUAUCCCAUCUGAUGUCUGUUGUCUUGAAGAAAGAUGUAUUUCUGAAUGUGAACAUCCUCAAACAAACAUGGCCGAAGGUAAUGAAGAAGACAUUUCUGAGCGGCUCGUUACUGAACGAGGCUCCACAUGAGGGAUUUCCUUCAAGAUUGGGGCUUAGAUGAGCGCAAUCAGGUAUGCUUGACAUCGGACAGUGGAUCUGUUCACUCUGUUCACUCUGUGCAAUAAGAGUUUUCAACAAAUGUUGAAAAUGUUUUCACAUUUGAGACUUGUUUGAUGUCAUUAGUUUCCUCCAUAACCUACCACUCAAACUUAUGCUUAAGUAUAGGGCUACACCUAAUGAUAAUUUUUAAAUUGAUUAAUCAACAGUGUUUGUUUACAUUGCUGAGUAGGACACGGCGCAAGAUAACAGCAAUUCUCCUAGUUAAAUAAAAGCUGCCACACUUUAAAAAUGAGAUUUUUCUUCUGUGGCUCUACCUCAGACUCAUGUGUAUCAGUAUACAUUUGUGCAGCAGAGCUUGCUUGUGUCGAGUAUUAGCAUUAGCGAGCUAUCGUCGGUGAUUACACAGCUGAUUAAUUAGUAAGUUAUAAGACAAAUAAAAGCACAAAACUGAUGCUUUAACUCCGAGCCAAUUGCUUAAAGUGAAUGAAUUAGAUAUGGGAUGCAGAGGAUAUGAUGCAGCGUCCACUGUGGAGUUUGCUGCACCAGAGGUGGGUUAUUUGAUUGCCAGGUCACUACUGUCUCCUUAAAUGUAAGCAGCGUGAUGUUGGAAAUGUAAACUAGGAAGCCAGGAAGAGCACAUGCAUUGAUUGAGAGAAGCUUCUCAUAGAUCAUGCUGAAGUAGGUUUUAAAUCGAUCCCAUUCGGUGGAGUUCGUUUGCUGUCCAUGCCUCCACCGUUAACUUAAGUAGCCAUUGUCUACAUCAUUGUGAGACGCGACAACGAAUUUUUGUAGUCAAUUACGCUGACUAGGUCAACGAAUCGCCCCAGCCCUAGUUAAGUACCUUAUUUGACUAUUCCAACUGGUAUUCCCAAGACAAAAUGAGUCAUUACUAUAGAUUGGAAUUAAAAUAUUUUUUAUUGGGACCUUUAUUUUAUCGUUAUCGCAAGUGAUAAAUUUGAUGGCCCAUAUUGCCCAUCCCUAGUGGCGACAUGUAUGUGAGGUAAAUGUUGAAAUAUUAAAUACUUUCCAAAGAUUUAUAAGAAAAGGAAGACAAAAAUGUAUCUUUCCACUUUUUUCCUUUUAAAAAAAAAUCUAAUUCAGAGAGAGGCACACACACAGGUGUUUCAGAGUGGAUCUAUCAUGUGAUUACUCAAACAAUCAUUGGCUUUGUGGAACAAACAUCUGCCUCCCAAAGUAUUCUGGCUGCAUAAACACCAGGUGCUCUUUGUUGUGGAAAAGCAAUUUAUGCCCAUGAAUACCUGCAGUAUGUUACCAAUGUGAAGCCCACUGAUUUCUUUUAUACUGGAAAUAUUUGUACCAGCAUUCAAUGAGAAUACCUCAAACCCUGCAGAUGAUGGAGGACGCUGAUUUGAUUUAUGAUUAUGAUUCAUGACUGUGGUAUGAUCUCUAUGCAGCACACUCUGGCACACACAGACAAUCUAUACACACAGCAUGAACAAAGCAUGAACAAAGAGUGGGUUAGGUAGAUUUAAACAUGCAGACGGUGACACAAAAGAUCUUUUUCUUUUCUUUCAAGCUGCUUUAGGAAUGAAACCCUCCGAAAUAUUUCACCCUGCAGUCUGAGGAUAUGAGACUCAAUCAAACAUUAUGUGACCUAGCAGGAAAAGUCAUUUUAACCUAUUCAACCCUUAUUAAACACAAUCUGAUCUGUGUGUCUCUGUCUAUUUGAGUCAAUCAGCUUGAUGACCUCAAACUCUCUCUCAUUCUAAUUUACCUGCAAGAACACACGCUCACACAAAGCAAGUUCAUCUAGGAAACACAAAGCCAUGUAAGGCAAAGGGUAUCAAAAACGCUAGUGCAUGUGUUAGUACAUCCUCAGUGCAGCCUUUUAGGCCUCGUAGCUCAAAUGGCAAUGCUUCAGAUGUGAUGGGCUAUUUAGUCAAAUGCAUCUAAAACUCAUGGUUCUUGUAAUUUAGCCUGUGGUUAUUUAUUCACUGUUGUUAGCUUACUUCAGCUGUUGGUGCUUCUAACCUAUAUUCCAGUUUCCUCCUAAAGCAGCAUCACAAAGUCAGACGACCAAGUCACACCCAGUCUCCAUCUAGCGUCAAAGCGAUCACAGAGCCUGUCACCAAGGUAACAGUAAAAGAUCUAGUCUUCAUGACUGCAGUUAAGUCCAAUUGGUUCAGGUAGGCUAUAGACAAGUGAUGCAAUGGAUCAGUGGUGGUCCCUUGGGUUGUCAAAAGUAUAGAUACUUUAAAAAGUAUCAAUACUUAUACGCUGUAUCCGGAUACGAUACUAAUUCGCCAUGGUAUCGAUACCACGGUGCGCGUGCCCGCAGUGCCCACCGAGCGCACUCAGCAAGCAGGGCAGCCUACCCGGCAGACAGUGUCCACCCAGCAGACCGGCAGGCGCAAGAGCCCCCGCUUGCUGUCCCAUGUUUUAUUGCUGUUAAGUGUGGCCAGUGUUUCAGAGUGGUGGAGACAAAGUCAAGUAGCAUGACUAAUUUGGUAAAACACCUUAAGGACCGGCAUCCUGGCCUUCAUGACAAAUUCUGGCAGGUUAGUAAAGUUCAUCCAUUACCUUAAUGUGUUCAACUGAUUAAUGAUGUUAGUCUGACCGGUGGCCAGCAUUAAUCUGCAGAAGCCGCGGUUAGUUUUAUCCUCAGUGAAUGUUGGUUGUUUUGUGAUUAGCUGUGGCUAGAGCUCCACUGUAGUCCGCGGUAGCCGCAUUUAGCUUUAUGUUCAGUGAAUGUUGUUUAUUUUGUUAUGGGCCAUUAGCCAUGGGCCCGCAGCUAGUGGCCUUUAGCUCGCUACCGUGACUCAAACACGUUUUCUUCUCUUAAAGUUGCAGACUAAAGCAGGGAGAAGUUGACCUGCAACUAAACCGAGAAACCACAGCCUACUCUUCCACUGCUAUUUUAAAAAACAGAGAAAGUAUGACGCAAAGGCUCCUGAAGCUGUCAAAAUAAACAGAGCUGUAGCAGAGUAUAUCUGUGAGGACCAACUACCCAUUUACACAGUGAAGAAACCUGGGUUCCAAAAGAAAAAGUGACUGUCUCAUUUUUUAUUUUUUUAAUAUUUUUUUUUAUUUCCGAUUAUUUAAUACUUUUAUUUAAUUGAUUGUUUAUCUGCCAUUCUGUUUUUCAUGUUAACACAAAUAUUUUUUAUGCCUUAAAAGUAUUUAUCAUUUUUUAUCCCCACGGUAUUGAAAAUGGUAUCGAGUACUUUCCUGGGUAUCAAUAUUGAGUUUAAAAUUUUAGUAUCUUGACAACCCUAGUGGUCCCUGACUACCUUAAACAGUUUGGCAAGUUUUGACCACCUUGUACUAUUCCUGGGAGUACUCACCACUACUAACCAAUAUGAGCAUGAGAAAGAUGCCUGUCUGUCUGCGUCCUACUCAUGCUUACUCUGAAUGUCUCAGAGAGAAGAGGGCUACCAUUUGCAAAACAAGAACAAUUCUAUUUUGCUGCACAUAAAAGAGUCAUCAUUACAGGCCCCAAAUGUGGAAACACUGAUGGCAGCGAUAUGAUGCCUCUACAGUCUGCAGAUACGUUUGUCCAGUAUUCAGUGCAGACGGAAUGGAUCACUAUGGAUGAAGAAAUAAAAUGAAUGGCUUCACUAAUCACUGUUAAAAUCAUACAAUGUUGGUUGUCUAUUUUUUAGAUGCUAUAUUUGCAGUUAGAUCUGUGACAAUAACUCUGCACAGUUUAAGUCCCAAAAUGUGUACCAAGUGGGAAAAGAAAAACAUCUGAAAGCUAGCAUGCACAUAAAUGCGUCAUGUUCACUGGUGUAAAUUAUGUACACCAGGGCAGCUGAUACCUGUUUAAAACAAGUGACUCACUUGUGUUGAGCGUACGUUUCUUCAUAAUUCAAUAUAAAAGUAACAUCAAACAAUCAACAAAUGACUUGAUCUUAGAUGAAUGGCGAUUCACUUAAAUUAUUGUGCCUUGAAAUGCACGAUGAGAAUUGUAGUUCAGCGAGAAGGGGAAAAGUUUGAUAAACGCUUCUUUUUUGGCGCAGCUGACCCAAAUUAAACCAUGUCCCUGGAUCUGUGAACCACUUCGCCCUAACAAAUUUCCUUUGUGAACUUUUAGUUGCCAUGACAGCCAAACAACUGUGAUUUGUAUUUCUAAUAAUUGUUUUAGUUACCAGCCUACAUUUGCUGAUGGCGUUAACUGUUGUUAGUGCAGGAAGAUUACUUCAGCCCUCAACCUUAGUUGCAACCCUCUUUCUGGAGGCACAUUAUCAAAGGAACAUAAACAGACAAAGGCACAUCAGUUUUCCAAUCCUUGACCUGAGAAACUGCAGAGACAUAACUUCGCUUUGAACAUUUCUCUUUGUCACUGCUUCAGUUCUUGCAACAGACAACAGAGUAUCCACUUAGUUCUAUUGGUAAGAGUAUACCUGGGUGAUAUUGGUAUCACUGAGUAUCAGCACCAACAUCAAGAGUGAUAGUGGUAAUAAUAAAAUCCAAAUGAUACCCUGCUCCACCUGUGUGCUUGUUUACACUCAGCACUCACACAGAAAGACACACACUGGUCCCUGGGAUCAAUUUCAAUUUUCAAGUUAGGGAACAAACCAGAAGACAGCCUUUCAUCCCUUCAGCCUCUUCCUCUACGCUGCCCACUUCACUCCAUUGAUCUCCACCAAUCUCUUCUGUCUUGGUUUCCCGUCUCCCUCUCCUUCAAUACUCCUCUGUCUGUUUUCUGUCCAUCUCUCAUCCUUCCUCUUCACUGCCUUGAUUCUUUGUAGACCUCUAACUCUGACUAUGUCUGUUUUCUCCUGAGGUUGCUUCCCCUGUUGCUCCUGUGUGUUUUGUCUCUAUCAUACACACACACACCUCAUUAAAUAGAGUUAAUUUCUAGCUCUUGAAAAGCUAUUGACCUGCUGCAGAGGUUGCACUCAUUGUCAACCUUUAUUGAGCGGGGCACAUCUGUAUGCCUGUCUGUCUGUUAGAUCAUCUGCCAGUCUAUCCUUCUGCAUGUCUGUCUAACAUGUGUGUGCAUUAGAGAAGAGUUGAUUUUUUAUUUUUUUUUUUGAAGUGUUUUAACUUCUUGGAAGAUAAUUGGUGGGAUAAACUGUCACAGCUGUAAUUAUUUUACUCUGCAAAACCUUUAGCUUACCUUUAAGGCAGCAUGUCGCCUCCCUUGUGCUAAAAAACCCUUCAAACAAGAUCCUGUGAUCAGGAUAUACUUUAUAAAUAAGUAUAAAUAUACUUUACUUUGUAUACUAAAAAAAAGUCCAGUCCAUACUCUAUUUACAAAGACCCAAUGUAAAGACGGCAUAAGAUUGAGCCCCAUCUUUUAGGAUCAGAUUCAUUCCUGUCCCAUCUUCAACCACUAGUGGAACACUUUGCAGCAUUUAUCAAGUUACAGUGGAGAGGAAAAACUUCCUUUAACUGGCAGAACCAGACUCAUGUAAGACAGUCAUUUGCCAUCACUGCAUUGGUUUUAGAGAGGGGGAUAUAGAGAGAUGCAUAAAGAUUAUUAUAUGACAGUUAUCAGCAGUGCCUCUGAUGGAUAUUGACAGAAGAUAAGACAUAGUGAAGUAAGAGGGUGUUGUGGGACAUGCAGGUGUGUUUAUAGUGAGAGGAAAGCUGCAGGUAUGUGGUAGCAUAACUGAGAUAGAACCAAUUAAAUUAAAACCUAACCUAAUACUGAUGAUAGAACUACUGAUAACAACAAUAUCAUUAUCACUAACAGCAUCUAAUGUGCAUAUGAAACAUCUUCACACGAAACAAGAGUGAGGGUACUAGGCUACAGUACAAGACCUAAAUGCUAUUUUGUUGUUAUCACAAGCAAAAUCCUCAAAACUGUUGUCAUAUAUUUUUAGUCAAUAUCACAUAUUGGCUGGUCUGGAUGUAUUCAGAUUCCACAUGAGCAGUAAAAUGCUCUCCAUAAAGGGGGAAUCUUCAGGUUAGUUUCUACUUUAAAAGGUGUUAUAUUUAGCAGUGGCAUUUCACGCCUAGGCCUUCAGUGCCGUUUCACUUAGUCCUGCCUAAAUUAAUACUCUUCAUAGUACCAUCAAUAUAACACCAUGGCUCGAGAAUCCAUCAGAAUCAUACUUUCACAUAACAUCACCUUAACAUCUAAUCCAGCAACACUUCAUUUCCAGAGCAUUUAAAACCAAUAAGCACACAUUCACAGUUAAGAGUAGGAAACUAAGACCACAGAUACUGUCAAAACUCAAUAAUAAAAGGAGAUAUUAAGACAUAAGUCAACAAAAGGCCACCAAAAGCUCAAACGAGUUUGCGCAAUAAAUUGCGCGUUGUCACCAUUGAAAAAUAUAAAGCUUGCACUCACCACCACAGAUCUCCUGCACAGCGCCUGUUUUUCUGAAAAUAAAGUCCAUCCUCCAUCCUUCUUCUCCCAAGAAGACUUCAUUGCUCUGUUGAAAAGUUAUCCGUGCGUUUCAGAUCCACCAAUAAGUCUUUUUCCAUACUGAAAGCCGUGUCUGUCCGGUCGUGUCUCUAUACUUUUAAAUGCAGCCAUAGCUGUCGGUCGCAAACCGAUCUUUGGGUUUAGUUCGACAUUUUGUAAAGUACCGCCUUUCAGGUUCUCACGAGUAAUUAUCCAAUCACAGGACGCGUACAUGUCCCGUUUAGCGUACCUUUAAGCUGGCUCGAGCUCUGAUUGGUUGUUGCAACUGACUGCGUCCAUUGAAGCGCACGCGAGCCUGCUCUGUUGAUUCUGACGGCCUUGGGCAGAUUUCAUUGCACCUGACAACUCAAGCUAGCUGAAAUAUGAUUGGAUAAAAAAUGAUAUCAUAAUAUACAACAUUGGAAGCAGCUCAACCAAGUGGAUAUACUAUGACAUAAAGAGAACAGACAAUAUAGAAUAAUUGCAUUUAAAUAUUUGUGAAAAAAAUAAAUAAAUGAAUAAACAAAUGUACUUUUCAGAGUAUGCGUAGGCCAGCAGAGAAGGCCUUCCUGGCCCUGGUACUUAGCAGCCUUUAGUUGAAUAGACAUGAUAGAAAUUAAACUAAUGUUCAUAAGUUUGUAAAACCUGGUGAAAUAAUAACCUAAAUAUGAAAUUCUUUUUGUUUUUGUUAUUUUUAUUUAUGUUUACAUAAGAGGCCAUUCUCCUUCCAUUAAGGCCACCAAUUUUCACCACCAUGUUUCUAGUUGCUCCAUAUGGACAAACCAGGAACAGCUACAAGUAUUUCUUCUGAUUUAGUAAGCAGCUAUCUAAAGUGUAUGACAGAGUGGGGUAAGAUGAGCCAUUUUUCAUAUUUCGGAUCACUUCAUCAAGUUAAUCAUAGUUUUGUCUCUAACUAGUGUAUCUGCAUAUAUUUUAAGAUGUUGUGCAUCCCUGCAAACCAACAGAAUGAGUGUAAACAUAACUGUCUUGAUAAAAUAGCAUGCCAAAAAAGUGGUCUCCUAUGGUCAACUUACCCCAUACACGGGGUAAGUUGAUCAUAGGAGCAGGGUAAGUUGAGCUGUAUCCCCACUCCCCACCCCCCACUCUCCACUUUAGCCCUCCCUCCCCCUUAUCAUUUACUGUUGCUUCAUGUGUGUCACCAAAGACAGGAAUGAGCUGAUUGGCAGUCAUCAUCCACAUAAGGCAUCAUGGUAUAGUGAGGUAGAGUGACAAAAGCUUUCAACAAAGAAAGGAACAAAUAAUCCCUCUGAGUAUUGAAUUUGUUGUUAAGGAUUUACUGUAUUGAGUUUCCCCAGAGACUCUGUGGUUUGCAGCCUGAUUUAGGAAGCUCACUAAAGACAACCUUAUGAAAAAGGCAAAGCAGUCUGCAUUAUAACAGG
Molecule: non-coding RNA, 13452 nt
Organism: Xyrichtys novacula (pearly razorfish)
Lineage: Eukaryota; Metazoa; Chordata; Actinopteri; Labriformes; Labridae
Source: the annotation of a GenBank genome assembly